GAUGAACGCUGGCGGCGUGCUUAACACAUGCAAGUCGAACGAUGAAGCCCAGCUUGCUGGGCGGAUUAGUGGCGAACGGGUGAGUAACACGUGAGUAACCUGCCCUUGACUCUGGGAUAAGCCUGGGAAACUGGGUCUAAUACUGGAUAUGACUUCUCAUCGCAUGGUGGGGGGUGGAAAGAUUUAUUGGUCUUGGAUGGACUCGCGGCCUAUCAGCUUGUUGGUGAGGUAAUGGCUCACCAAGGCGACGACGGGUAGCCGGCCUGAGAGGGUGACCGGCCACACUGGGACUGAGACACGGCCCAGACUCCUACGGGAGGCAGCAGUGGGGAAUAUUGCACAAUGGGCGCAAGCCUGAUGCAGCGACGCCGCGUGAGGGAUGACGGCCUUCGGGUUGUAAACCUCUUUCAGUAGGGAAGAAGCGAGAGUGACGGUACCUGCAGAAGAAGCGCCGGCUAACUACGUG
Molecule: ribosomal RNA, 466 nt
Filed under: uncultured bacterium
Lineage: Bacteria
Description: partial 16S ribosomal RNA
Rfam family: Bacterial small subunit ribosomal RNA
Source: RNAcentral